Molecule: ribosomal RNA, 459 nt
Filed under: uncultured bacterium
Lineage: Bacteria
Description: partial 16S ribosomal RNA
Rfam family: Bacterial small subunit ribosomal RNA
Source: RNAcentral
CCUACGGGUGGCAGCAGUGAGGAAUAUUGGUCAAUGGGCGGGAGCCUGAACCAGCCAAGUCGCGUGAGGGAAGACGGUCCUAUGGAUUGUAAACCUCUUUAGGCGGGGAGCAAUGCCGGGCACGCGUGCCCGGCGGGAGAGUACCCGCAGAAUAAGCAUCGGCUAACUCCGUGCCAGCAGCCGCGGUAAUACGGAGGAUGCGAGCGUUAUCCGGGUUGAUUGGGGUUAAAGGGUGCGUAGGCGGAUUUUUAAGUCAGCGGUAAAAUGUCCGGGCUCAACCCGGGCCGGCCGUUGAAACUGGGGAUCUUGAGUGGGCGAGAAGUAUGCGGAAUGCGUGGUGUAGCGGUGAAAUGCAUAGAUAUCACGCAGAACUCCGAUUGCGAAGGCAGCAUACCGGCGCCCGACUGACGCUGAGGCACGAAAGCGUGGGGAUCGAACAGGAUUAGAUACCCCUGUAGU